Molecule: ribosomal RNA, 491 nt
Filed under: uncultured bacterium
Lineage: Bacteria
Description: partial 16S ribosomal RNA
Rfam family: Bacterial small subunit ribosomal RNA
Source: RNAcentral
UGGGGAAUAUUGGACAAUGGGGGCAACCCUGAUCCAGCCAUGCCGCGUGAGUGAUGAAGGCCUUCGGGUUGUAAAGCUCUUUUGGCGGGGACGAUGAUGACGGUACCCGCAGAAUAAGCCCCGGCUAACUUCGUGCCAGCAGCCGCGGUAAGACGAAGGGGGCUAGCGUUGUUCGGAAUUACUGGGCGUAAAGCGAGUGUAGGCGGUUGCCGUAGUCAGGUGUGAAAGCCUUGAGCUCAACUCAAGAAAUGCACUUGAUACUGGGUGACUAGAGGACCGGAGAGGAUAGUGGAAUUCCCAGUGUAGUGGUGAAAUACGUAGAGAUUGGGAAGAACACCAGUGGCGAAGGCGGCUAUCUGGACGGUUACUGACGCUAAGACUCGAAAGCGUGGGGAGCAAACAGGAUUAGAUACCCUGGUAGUCCACGCCGUAAACGAUGGGUUGCUAGACGUUGGCGAGCUUGCUCGUCAGUGUCGCAGCUAACGCGUUAA